ACUAUUUGGGAUGAGAAUAUAUGUUGGUCCUUAAUUCUCUAAUUUUUCAUUAAACCGAUGGAGGGAAUUAAGUGUAGUUCAUUAAAGGGUUGCUAUUUGCUCCCUGAAUCACACAAUUUUAGGGCAAAAAAGAGGCGCCACACCAAAUUAGAAUAAAAUAUAAAAAAAAAAUUAACUUAAAAAUCUUUAUCUUUUUCAAGGAAAUAAGAAACCUUUAGCUGGCUCGCACUCACGGCUCAUCUCCCUCAAUGAAAUUAAAAUCCCUAAAUCACUACCCUCUAAACCUAAAUCUGCAUAUUCCUCUCAAAGUCUAUGAAUGACGGUAUGUAUACUGAAACCAGAGCUACAUUUUCUACUCUUCCAGUUUUCAUCUCUGUCAAGGUAGGUUUACAACCCAUUUGUGCAGGUUUGGGGAGAAAAUUAAACUAGGAAUGGACGACUAUCUCACCAAAAGUAAGCACACUUUCUUUUGAGAAAACCUUUACUUAUUACUUCUCAUAUGGGUUUUUGUUAAAUCUAGGUUUUUAAAGAAAUUGUUUUCAUUAGCGAUUCUAUUUUGUGGUUGCUCAGCAAGAUUUUGUAAAAUCAGUUUCUUUCAAGAUUAUGUUUUCUUGCGUGUCCCCUUUUUGAAUUGUUUGUAAAAGCCUUUUCUUUGUUUAGUUUUCUUGUAAUUUGUUCUUCAUCUUCUAUUCUCUCUUCGUUAGUUUCUAAAAUUAGUGCUUAAAGGAACUCCCCUUUUUUUAAAUUUAGUUUGGAGUAAAGAUAUGUCUUCAAUUGUUUAUUUCCCGUAAAAAAUGAUCUUUACUUCAAUUUUGUUUAGAUUGUUUAUUAGUGAAUUGUUAUAUUUCAAUCCUUUUGUAGCAGUAAUAUAGUGUUAGAUAUUAGACUACCUUUUGCCUUUUGAAAACUUAUUUAACGUAAUAUUUAGUUAGUUUUUCUCAACCUCUCUAACUUUUAGUGAGUCUAGUUUGCAUUGGCUUAGCUUUAGAAAGUCUUUACUGUGACUUGCUAUUGUAUUUAGCUUCUGGAGUAUUUGUGGCUCAUUUUUAACUCAACAAAAUGAGAACUAGCAACUCUAUUUUCAAUCAGCCCCGUUUUAGUUCUAUCGUUGUAGACGAAAGUGAAAAUUUCCAGAACCGAGUGUUUGAUUUUAGUGCAUUCAUAUUUGGUUAGUUUUAUUAUCUUUGUCUUUUUUUAUAUCAGUAUUAAGACAGUCAUAAUGUUAGGUUAUAGUCAAAUUUUCAUUUAAUUCAAUUAACAAGCAUGAAAUACUAUAACUAUAAACAAAAAUACAUGGAAUGGGUAGCUAGUACACUAGCUGAUAAGUGUUGUAUAGAGAAACUCUGUGUUCUGUUUGUUUUGACAAUUAAUUUACUGUUUAUCUCAUUCUGGUAGUAUAUCAUUAUUAUCCUUAAAUCUUAUCAUUGGUUAAUAAUUAUUAACUUUAGCUCAUUGCUAUGAAGGUUAUGUAUUUCUAAUGACCAGAGAAAUUGUUGAUGAGUAACAAUUAGUACACUGGUUGAUAAGCGUUGAACUGAAAAAUUAUGUAUUCUCCGUUUUGACAAUCAAGUUGCAGCUUACAUAUUCGUGGAGUAUUAUUAGUUUUUGUUUCUUAAAUGUCAUAAGUUAAUAAUUAUUAACUCUUAACACCUUUCCUCAAUAAUAUCAGCUUUUGUGGCCAAACACUCACAACGUGGCUCAACAUGCUUAGCUCCUUACAAAAGUCUCUAAUAUUUAAUUUAUAUAACGUUUCUUAAAAGGUUAUGUGCAUUUUAGAGUACUUUCAUUAUCCUAUAUGUUUUUAUAAUUUGAUUCUUAUGUAACCUUCCAAGUUUAUGGCAGAAGUAAGCAGUAGAAGGAACUUGUUGAUAUUCGGCUUGAUGAAGCCUACUUAAUUGGGGUGCAAAAUUUUUUGGAUUAAGCUUUUAGAAAAUCAGGAAAAUGACAUGAAAUACCAUGUCCAUGUGAUAAACAGUUAAAGACUCAAAAUUGUGGGAUGCUUGUAAUUGGUGCGACUAGUAAAGAUGGCGAGAGCCUUGAUUAUUAUGGAGUUUUGACUGAUAUACUAGAAUUGCAGUUCAUCCUGGUAGAAGAGUAAUUUUAUUUCGAUGUAGUUGGUUUGAUGUGAAUGAUGAAACAAAAGGAGUUAAAUAAGAUGAAUAUGAAUUUGUAAGUGUUAAUUGGGGGAAAGUUUUGAAAAUAAAUGAGCCUUUUAUAUUAGCGGACCAAGCAUAACAAGUUUUUUAUACUAAUGACAAUUUCAAUAAGGGUUGACAUCUGGUGAUGAAAAUGAAACCUCAUGAUUCCUAUGAGAUUCCGCAACAAAUGGAUGAUGAUAUUAAGUAAUAAAAAAAUCCUACACAAAAUACACGAAAAAGAAUGGACGAGGUAAAGCAUCUUUUAUGUAUUAGUAUAUUACCGUGUACCUCCUGGUUUACAUGAUUAUUUUGCUAAUACAUUAUUUUCAUCAUGUCUUUCUUAUUUUAUUUUCUUUUGACUCUUUUUAGGUUUAGUGUGAAACAAUCAAAGACAGAAAGUAAGAUCGGAUCCACUACGAAUGCUACGAAAUAUGGUUUCCUUCCGCCAGGUGCCAAAGUAUUAUCAUUUCUUAAGUGUUAAAUCAUCUAUGUUCUGGAUUUUCUGUUAUAAAGUUGAUAUCAGCUGCAAAUAAUGCAAGGCUUAGAUGUCAAGCUACUCUUUGGAAUUUAAAAAAUCUAGACUUUAAUUAGUUAAAAGAAACAAAAGGCAAUGCUACUAUGUGCUAACAAUACAGAGAGGCAUACCAGCAGAAUGAUAUAUCUGCUAUAUAAGUGUGUAGCUAAGUUAUAUUUGCAAAAUCUUGAAACACCCAAUUGAAGUCUAGAUUGGUUACUGUACAUUCUUCGGUCAAAAGAACAGAAAAAGUCAAGAUUUUCAAGUCUCGACACCUUAUUUUUAAGUAAAUGAUGCAAUGACUUAUGUGUUUGCACAUUAAACCUGCACAAGCACAUUAAACUUGCACAUUAAAUGAUGCAAUGACCUAUGUGUUUGCACAUUAAACCUGCACAAGGGCAAAGCUUAUACUACUUUAGCAUGAAAGAUGAUUGUGCUUCUGUCAAGAGUACUUGUGAUUUUUACCUUUAGCCAAAAAGUUAUUUCAUAAUUGUAUUUAAUAUUUUAACUCGAGUAGUGGAUAAAAUUAUCCUUAAACAUAUUUUCCAAAGUUCUAAUUCAUUUUUUUUGUUUGACUUCAUGCAGUCCCUUUCACGUUGCUGUUUAACUUUUGAAUUGUAUAUGAUCACACUUGAUGAAUUUGGGCAAAUAGUUAAAUCAUUGUUAGGGUAAAAUUAUAAAAUAUUCUUUAACCAAUUAUCUUGUUGAUCUUUAUUGGUUUUUCUGAAGAGAAAUUUUACAGGUUUUGGAGAUUGAAGUUUACAAGUAAAAAAUCUUAUUUGGCGGGCAUACAAGUUGACUAUCAUUUUGCUAGGAAUAUUGGAUAAACUUUGUAUAAUGUCUAGGGAUGUUAUCUAGGUUUUUUGUGUGAGUUCUGUCAACAAUAUUGUGAUUGCUUAAUUGAAGUGUACCUGUAAAUGACGUCAUUAAUGGAAUGUUAAUAAAUUUUUGUAAAGCAAAAUUUAUCUCUAUAUUAUAUUUUUGUUAUCUAGUUUUCUUUUUACAA
Molecule: long non-coding RNA, 3658 nt
Filed under: Nicotiana tabacum (common tobacco)
Lineage: Eukaryota; Viridiplantae; Streptophyta; Magnoliopsida; Solanales; Solanaceae
Description: long non-coding RNA (NTAB_LNC004542)
Source: RNAcentral